Molecule: long non-coding RNA, 549 nt
Organism: Symphalangus syndactylus (siamang)
Lineage: Eukaryota; Metazoa; Chordata; Mammalia; Primates; Hylobatidae
Source: RefSeq, a predicted model, not a curated record
GCCACGCCCCCGUGAGCCCGCCCUCGAAAUCACUCUUAAAGGGUCCGCUCCUGGCUCGCGACUCCCCAGUGCCCUGGCCCAGAAAAGAGGAUUCCAGCCCGCGAAGCUCAUUGCGAUUCCAAAGCCUCUUCUCCACCACCCGCCACCUCCCAAUCACUAUUCAGUCCUGGCCUGAAAGCAGGAAGAACAGGACAGACCAGGGUCAGCUCUCCAUUGUACAGCCUCUCACUAAGUGCCUACUGUGUGCCAGGCACUGUUCCUGAACCAGGUCUCACAUCCAGGUCACGCUGAUGCAAGAGAUGGGUUCCCACGGUCUUGGGCAGCUCCAUUCCUGUGGCUUUGCAGGGUACAGGCUUCCUCCUGGCUGCUUUCACGGGCUGGUGGUCCCAGUGACCUGCCGAGUGGGAAGAGCUGUCGGCCUCCCAGUGGUGACGACGACCUCGCUGUGCUCGUGGCAGCAGCACUCUCAAAUCUGGGCACGGUGAUGGGAAGGUUAUUUGUUGGAAUCCCUUUGCCUUUCCAAGGGAAAAUAAACACAAAAAGUGAGAA